RNAcentral lists this ribosomal RNA (253 nucleotides) under uncultured bacterium. RNAcentral's name for it is "partial 16S ribosomal RNA". It matches the Rfam family "Bacterial small subunit ribosomal RNA", at positions 524 to 776 of the family's 1533-position model. The record is from RNAcentral.
UACAGAGGGUGCAAGCGUUAAUCGGAAUUACUGGGCGUAAAGCGUGCGCAGGCGGUUUUGUAAGACAGAUGUGAAAUCCCCGGGCUUAACCUGGGAACUGCAUUUGUGACUGCAAGACUAGAGUGCGGCAGAGGGGGGUAGAAUUCCACGUGUAGCAGUGAAAUGCGUAGAUAUGUGGAUGAUUACCGAUGGCGAAGGCAGCCCCCUGGGUCGACACUGACGCUCAUGCACGAAAGCGUGGUGAGCAACCAGU